CGCGGCCUAUCAGCUUGUUGGUGGGGUAACGGCCUACCAAGGCAACGACGGGUAGCUGGUCUGAGAGGACGAUCAGCCACACUGGCACUGAGAUACGGGCCAGACUCCUACGGGAGGCAGCAGUGAGGAAUAUUGCGCAAUGGGCGAAAGCCUGACGCAGCGACGCCGCGUGGGGGAAGAAGGUUUUCGGAUUGUAAACCCCUUUUAGGAGGAAAGAUGGGGUGGGUUUCCACCCGGACGGUACCUCCAGAAAAAGCCACGGCUAACUUCGUGCCAGCAGCCGCGGUAAUACGAAGGUGGCGAGCGUUGUUCGGAUUUACUGGGCGUAAAGAGCACGUAGGCGGUUUAGUAAGCCCCUUGGGAAAGCUAUGGGCUUAACCCAUAAAGGUCGAGGGGGACUGCUAAGCUAGAGGGCGGGAGAGGAGCGCGGAAUUUCCGGUGUAGCGGUGAAAUGCGUAGAUAUCGGGAAGAAGGCCGGUGGCGAAGGCGGCGCUCUGGAACGUCUCUGACGCUGAGGUGCGAAAGCGUGGGGAGCAAACAGGAUUAGAUGCCCUGGUAGUCCACGCCGUAAACGAUGGGUACUAAGUGUCGGCAGGUUACUGCCGGUGCCGCAGUUAACGCAGUAAGUACCCCGCCUGGGGAGUACGG
This 648-nucleotide ribosomal RNA is filed under the name uncultured bacterium. Its description in RNAcentral is "bacterial SSU rRNA". It matches the Rfam family "Bacterial small subunit ribosomal RNA", at positions 232 to 885 of the family's 1533-position model. The record is from RNAcentral.